GACGAACGCUGGCGGCGUGCUUAACACAUGCAAGUUGAACGGAAAGGCCCUGCUUUUGUGGGGUGCUCGAGUGGCGAACGGGUGAGUAACACGUGAGUAACCUGCCCUUGACUUUGGGAUAACUUCAGGAAACUGGGGCUAAUACCGGAUAGGAGCUCCUGCUGCAUGGUGGGGGUUGGAAAGUUUCGGCGGUUGGGGAUGGACUCGCGGCUUAUCAGCUUGUUGGUGGGGUAGUGGCUUACCAAGGCUUUGACGGGUAGCCGGCCUGAGAGGGUGACCGGCCACAUUGGGACUGAGAUACGGCCCAGACUCCUACGGGAGGCAGCAGUGGGGAAUAUUGCACAAUGGGCGGAAGCCUGAUGCGGCAACGCCGCGUGCGGGAUGACGGCCUUCGGGUUGUAAACCGCUUUCGCCUGUGACGAAGCGUGAGUGACGGUAAUGGGUAAAGAAGCACCGGCUAACUACGUG
Molecule: ribosomal RNA, 468 nt
Filed under: uncultured bacterium
Lineage: Bacteria
Description: partial 16S ribosomal RNA
Rfam family: Bacterial small subunit ribosomal RNA
Source: RNAcentral